ACCGGCGCAAGGGUGCGUAACGCGUGAGCAACAUGCCCGUAUCAGGGGGAUAAUCCAUGGAAACGUGGUCUAAUACCCCAUAGUAAAUUUUUGGGGCAUCUCAAAGAUUUUAAAGCUUUGGUGGAUACGGAUUGGCUCGCGUGACAUUAGCUAGAUGGUAAGGUAACGGCUUACCAUGGCUACGAUGUCUAGGGGUUCUGAGAGGAAGGUCCCCCACACUGGAACUGAGACACGGUCCAGACUCCUACGGGAGGCAGCAGUGAGGAAUAUUGGACAAUGGAUGGAAAUCUGAUCCAGCCAUGCCGCGUGCAGGAAGACGGCCCUAUGGGUUGUAAACUGCUUUUGUAUGGGAGCAAUAAGAUCUACGUGUAGAUUGAUGAGAGUACCAUACGAAUAAGCACCGGCUAACUCCGUGCCAGCAGCCGCGGUAAUACGGAGGGUGCAAGCGUUAUCCGGAUUUAUUGGGUUUAAAGGGUGCGUAGGCGGUUUGAUAAGUCAGCGGUGAAAUAUUUCAGCUUAACUGGAAGGGUGCCGUUGAUACUGUCGAGCUUGAAUUUAGUUGCUGUGGGUGGAAUGUGUGGUGUAGCGGUGAAAUGCAUAGAUAUCACACAGAAUAUCGAUUGCGAAGGCAGCUCACAAAGCUAAUAUUGACGCUGAUGCACGAAAGUGUGGGGAUCAAACAGGAUUAGAUACCCUGGUAGUCCACACU
This 709-nucleotide ribosomal RNA is filed under the name uncultured bacterium. RNAcentral's name for it is "bacterial SSU rRNA". It matches the Rfam family "Bacterial small subunit ribosomal RNA", at positions 94 to 801 of the family's 1533-position model. The record is from RNAcentral.